This 269-nucleotide ribosomal RNA is filed under the name uncultured Atopobium sp. RNAcentral describes it as "partial 16S ribosomal RNA". It matches the Rfam family "Bacterial small subunit ribosomal RNA", at positions 87 to 355 of the family's 1533-position model. Lineage: Bacteria; Bacillati; Actinomycetota; Coriobacteriia; Coriobacteriales; Atopobiaceae. The record is from RNAcentral.
UGUAUAAAGUGGCGAACGGCUGAGUAACACGUGGGCAACCUGCCCUUUGCACUGGGAUAGCCCCGGGAAACCGAGGUUAAUACCGGAUACUCCAUAUUUGUCGCAUGGCGAAUAUGGGAAAGCUCCGGCGGCAAAGGAUGGGCCCGCGGCCUGUUAGCUAGUUGGUGGGGUAGUGGCCUACCAAGGCAAUGAUGGGUAGCCGGGUUGAGAGACCGACCGGCCAGAUUGGGACUGAGACACGGCCCAGACUCCUACGGGAGGCAGCAGCC